Molecule: ribosomal RNA, 49 nt
Filed under: Terfezia arenaria
Lineage: Eukaryota; Fungi; Ascomycota; Pezizomycetes; Pezizales; Pezizaceae
Also listed under: 6 other names
Description: partial 28S ribosomal RNA
Source: RNAcentral
UGACCUCAGAUCAGGUAGGGAUACCCGCUGAACUUAAGCAUAUCAAUAA